This 7205-nucleotide long non-coding RNA is filed under the name Homo sapiens (human). RNAcentral's name for it is "HSALNT0138386". Lineage: Eukaryota; Metazoa; Chordata; Mammalia; Primates; Hominidae. The record is from RNAcentral.
ACACACACACACACACACACACACACCGGCGUACUGGAACCUCUCUCGCGAUCCCGCACCCAGCUUGAAUUCAGCAAGAAUCGAAAACAGGUGUGCCCCCGUGGGGCGGUUCGAAGAUGGCCGAAUAGGAACAGCUCCAGUCUGCAGCUCCCAGCUUGAGCGACACAGAAGACGGGUGAUUCCUGCAUUUCCAACUGAGAGACUAGAAAAUUAUUGCCAGGCCAAUAAAACAUCCUAUCUUUGGGGGUCCAAUAUUUGGUUGAUUUUGUUUGUUCACCUUUCAAUCACCAGAAUCCCCUUCUUAUCAAUAAUUCCACCACCGCUCAAGAAUUCACAAAAUUAAAACAAAAAUGAUCUCUCUCAUUUACCAUAUUAGCACUACAUAUUUCACAAACAUGAUUUCAUCUUCACUAUCAGGGAGGUAUUACCAAACCCUUUAAUAGAGGAGGGAGCUGAGAAUCAGAGAUGAUCACCAACGUGCCCAAAUUCACACAGCAUAGAAAGUGUGGAGAGAGAGUCAAAUGCAGACCAGCUGUACUCCAGAAUCUACACCCCAGAAUCUACACUCCUAGCCAUCUUGCUCAAUUUUCUCCAAAAAAUGCUGUGAUCCUUUUAGGAGCUUGUGUAUUGAUUAAGAUAAAACAUUUCUCUGUAGUGCAAUAUUUAAGUACGAUGAAGCAAUCCAAAUGCAAAUAAUACAUGCUGUAGUUUUGAAUAAAGACACAAAAUAAGCUACCCCAUAUAACCAAAAUCUCUAAUGACUAGGAUUUGGCUUAUUACAGGACUGCCGAAGCUGAGAGUAACUACCCCUGGUUUCAUUUCCAACUCAUGAAUUUUUCGCCAUCCUUCUCUGCCCGCCUUUCCUUUACUACACAGUGAGCCGCACUCCUGGAACAAGCUUCCCUUGAAGUUCACCCUCUGAGCGCCACGGCCCCUCUCCAGCCUGCAUUCCACUGUAAGGUUGAGAAAUAUCUGAUUGUUAGUGAUGAGAGAGAAAACCUAGCCUCAUUCUCUGGUGGCCUGUCUUGCAAAAGAGAGAUGAAAUCAAACCUGGCUUCCUGAGAUUCCAAAUCACAAACAUCACAUACUAGUUUUUUUUUUUAAUAAAAUCAUGGGGCCAGAUGUGGUAGCUCACACCUGUAAUACCAGCACUUUGGGAGGCUGAGGCAGAACAAUCACUUGAGGCCAGGAGUUCAAGACCAGCCUGGAAAACAAAGGGAAACGCACUUCUACAAAAAAUUUAAAAAUUAGUCACAUGUGGUAGCAUGAACUUGUAGUUCCAGCUACUUGGGAGGCUGGGGCAGGAGGAUCGCUUGAGCCCAGGAGCUGGAGGCUACAAUGAGCCAGGAUUGCACUACUGCACUCCAGCCUGGGUGACAGAGGGAGACCUUGUCUAAAUAAAUAUCAUAGAAAGGUGGGGAACUCACUCAGAGUGUCCCACAUUGUCUUUUUCUUUCUUUUUUUCAAAAUUAAGAGACAGGGACAGCAAGGCGCGGUGACUCACUCCUGUGAUCCCAACACUUUGGGAGGCCGAGGUGGGUGGAUCACCUGAGCUCAGGAGUUCAAGAACAGCCUGGCCAACAUGGUGAGACCCUGUCUCUACUAAAAACACAAAAAUUAGCCAGGCAUGGUGGCACACACCUGUAAUCCCAGCUACUCAGGAGGCUGAGGCAGGAGAAUCGCUCGAACCCCGGAGGCAGAGAUUGCAGUGAGCCAAGAUUGUGCCACUGCGUUCCACCCUGGGAAACAAAGCAAGAUUCCAUCUCCAAAAAAAGAAAAAGAGAGAGAGAGAGAGAGCUAGGGUCUUACUAUAUUGCCCAGGGUGGAAUGCAGUGUCUACUCAGAGGCCCAGUCCCACUACUGAUUCUGCUCAUAUCUGACCUAAGCCAGUUCGCCCCUCCUUAAACAACGUGGUGGACCCCACUCCAGGAGGUCACCAUAUUGAUGCCAAACUUAGUUCAGACACCCAAUUGCUACAGCACACUACAGCUCAGAACUCCUGGGCUCAAGCAAUUGUUUUGCCUCAGCCUCUCAAGUAGCUGAGACCACAGGUGUGCACUAUUGAGCCUCACUUCCCUUAGCAUAUCUUUUUGAACAGCCUUUUCUUUAUAUUGAGAUACCUGAAAAGGGCUCUUUACAAAAUCCACUCGAAUUCCCUUCUCUCCUCUCUGCUGUCCUUUAUUAUUGAUGACAUUUUUGAUAAUUAUCUGAUUAUAGAAAAACUCCAAAAAGCCAGGAAGAAGUGCUGAUUUUUGUUUUGUUUUGAGAUGGAAUCUCACUCUGUCACUCAGGCUGGAGUGCGGUGGUGCAAUCUUGGCUCACUGCAACCUUCGCCUCCCAGGUUCAAGUGAUUCUCCCUGCCUCAGCCUCCCAAGUAGCUGGGAAUACAGGUGUCUGGCACCACACCCAGCUAAUUUUUGUAUUUUUAGUAUAGCUGGGUUUUCACCAUGUUGGCCAGACUGGUCUCGAACUCCUGACCUCAGGUGAUCCACCCGCCUUGGCCUCCCAAAGUGCUGGGAUUACAGGUGUGAGCCACUGCGCCCAUCCAAAGUGCUGUAUUAUUUCACUCAUCACUGCUAUUGGUUUCAGCAUAUGCAUACACAGGUGCCUGUAUUUUUGGCCUGACAUCUAUGCUCCAUUCUCUUUGGAUUUCAGGGAUACAUGACAAUUGUUCUAGUUCUUUUGCUGUAACUGAUGAAUACAAAAUAACCCCGUAGUAGAAUGUACCACCUGGAACAUCAAGAAAGUGAUUUUACAGGAUUUAGCAUUCCAUUUGGGGGCUGCAGAACCUGUCAUCAGAUAAUGGGAUUUGAAUGAUAAAUGAACUGUCUCAUGUCAAUCCCUUUGUGAAAAUUAGAGCUUUUAAAGUCUAGGUUUAGCUUGCUUAAACUGAGAAAUGGCCAGGCAAAUAGUCAUGUCAGUAGAAAUAUAACAUCUAAAAGUCAAGAUCUUUUUCCCUUCCUUUAGUUGUCAUUAUUUGUGAAAUUUCACACCAGAAGACAAUUGUGAUUUUUUUUGAACCAGAAAGAUUGUGAAAAUUAGCUCGUAUUAGACCUGUGAUGAAUCUUCAACUCUAGAAAAGAAAAAGAAAUGUGCUCUAAGAAGAAAUAAGAGGCCGGGUGCAGUGCCUCAAGCCUGUAUUCCCAACACUUUGGGAGGCCAAGGCAGGCGGAUCACUUGAGGUCAGGAGUUCGAGACCAGCCUGGCCAACAUGGCAAAACCCCGUCUCUACCAAAAAUACAAAUAUUAGCUGGGUGUGGUGAUGCAUAACUGUAAUCCCAACUACUCAGGAAGCUGAGGCAGGAGAAUCGCUUGAACCUGGGAGGCAGAGGUUUCAGUGAGCCGAGAUCGUGCCACUGCACUCCAGCCUGGGAGACAGAGCAAGACUCUGCCUUAAAAAUAAAUAAAUUAAAAGAAGAGAUUUAUAGGUAAACAAAAACAUGCAUUUUCUCUCUGUACUAUGUGCAUUCUUCCCCAAUCUUCCCUAAAGAAAAUAUCCCCUAGGAAGAAAGGUCUGAAACCUUGGAAAUUAUUUUUACUAGUCUUAGAAAUAUGUAUAACAAAUAUGCAAAAACAUGAACAAGCAAAGUAAUCCAAGCUAUUGAAAACCUAAUAAGAUCAGCUUACUCAUAUGCCUCCAAGACAGAAUGCUAUCAGCCCUCUGCAAUUUUAAGACCAAGACUCUGACUUCUGCCAGGUGCAAAACCCAUGGAGAGAAAUACUCUAUAGAUGAAGAAAGACUUGAGUUAGACCCUGAAGAGUAAGCAGAAUUUUCAUAUCUGUGAAUAGAACCCACGGCCUCUGAGACAGAGCAACCCCUGAUAAAGGAGACCAAAACAGAAGCACCCUGGGCAGGAUGUCUCAGGGAUGCUCAAAUUGUUGGGAAAGUUGGGGCAUGUGAAGGGGAAAAACAGGCAGGAAGAUAGAAAAGAUCGUCUCCCUUGGCUGAGAAGUUUGGACUCUAGUAUGUAGGCAAUAGAAACUCAUCAAAGGUUUCUAUGCAGAGCAGUGACAGGAUAAAGCAGGACUUUAUGAAAACUGAUCUUUCAGGAAAAGCUGGGAGGGACUGAAAUAGGAUGGAAACUGCAGGUAGAAAGACCACUCUCAAAGCUAUUAGAACAAUGCAGGCAAAAGACUGAACCAUGACCUUGGGCUCAGCUAUGUAAGUCAAGACUAGGUAUUGGACCACUGUUAUUUUCUAAUGUCAAAUCAAUGACUUUAGAUUGGAGGGAAUUUAGGAAUUGUUUUGCCAAAAAUUCACAAACCUGUGGCAAAAUCAGACUGGUGGUAAAGUGCACGUGUGUGUGUGUGUGUGUGUGUGUGUGUGUGUGUGUAUAAACAUGUAUACAAAUAUAUAUAUAAUUUUUUUAGUUUUCUGAAUUAGUUACCCAAGUUUUAAAAUUGGGAGAUUUCAGAUGAAAACCCCAGAUUUCUGGAUUUUUGAAAUUUGGCAUUGUCAUAUUGGGCUCAAAGCCUUCACCUGACCCUCACCCUGCAUAAUCCUCUUAAGCUUCAUUUAGUCCCAUUCCUGUCCUGCCAUUCAUACCCCAAUCUUAAAGAUGAAGACACUGAAACCCGAGGAAGGUAAGGAAUUUUCCCAAAGUUUCACUGACAGUUGUUGGCAAAGUCUGCAAGGAUGAUGUGACAUAAUGCCUGUCCCAUUCCUUACAGCAACUGGACAUAUAUGAUCUCUGUUCCUCAUAAGCCCUUAAGAGUAGACAUCAUUAUCCCCAUUUUGUAGAAGAGGAAACGGGUUGAAAGAUUAGGUAACUUCCCCAAAGCCACAUAGCUGGUCAGCGGUGGAGACAAUGUUCAAACCUAGAUCUUUCCAGGUCUUUCUUAUUACACAAUUAGUGUAAGAUUCUGAAACCGGACAAACCUGCUUAAAAUCGAGGCUGGUCAUUGACUGGCUGUGUGAUGGCAGGGAUGUUACUCAGCCUGUCUGAGCUUCACAUUUUUGGUUUUCAGACUGAAAUGAGCAUGUGUCUAACAGCAAUUAACACAUGUUAAUUAUUUUACAGUCACAGUUUGCUUUUUGAGAAAAAGCACUGUUAAUGGAUAUGAUCAGAUACUUUAUUUGUGUUGUUGGCUCUGAAAAUCUUUUUAAUCCCCAAAAAAUAAAAUCUAACCCCAAAGACAGUGUCAACCACUGAUACUAUUCUAAAGAUUGUGCCAUAAGAUCUAAACCUUUUUCCUAAAGAUUCCAAAAAAAUCAGAGGUAACAGUAGCAGUGUUGGCAGUAGAACUCUCACAUAAGAGACAGGGAUGGAGGCAUAUGCGCCCCAUGUCUCACUCCUCCUUCUACUUUCCUUGCCAGUGUUCCUGUUUGGCAAAACCAGCAACAUCUGGGCCCACACUACAAAAGGACCCAGAAAAUAUAGUUUAUAGCUUCCUAGCCCCUUUGAUACAGAAAAGCAUGCAAGAAAGGUGGACCAGUCAUCUGCAUCUGUCACAAAAUUGCCCUAAGAACCAGCUUGUCAGCCAUAGAAGAAAACUGUAUCUCAUUAUUUUAUGUUCACAUUUUGCUUUUUGAGAGAAAGCACUGUGAGUAGAUUUGAUCAGAUACUUUAUUUGUGUUGUUGGUUCUGAAAAUCUUUUUAAUCCCCAAAAAAUAAAAUCCAACCCCAAAGAUAGUGUCAACCACUGAUGGUAUUCUAAAGAUUGUGCCAUAAGAUCUGAACCUUCUUCCAAAAGAUUCCAAAAAAAUUGGGCUUAACAGUAGCAAUAUUGGAAGUAGCAUUUAGCAUCCUACUUUGAAAGGGACAGCGCUCAUUAGGAUAGAGACAUUCUAAAAUGUUUGCUUUUUAAUCAGCCCUAUUAGUCACAGACAUACCUCACUGGAGUUACCCUCCAGCUUCCUCCAAGGAAGAUAGCCAAACACCUGAUGGUGAGCAAAGCCAUUACCAUCUUGACUUCCUGCCAGAAUUCUUACCACCAUCAACCUUUCAAAACAGGUUGAUUAGUGGAUCUGGCAAACAAAAGCACUGUAAUUAUUCAAUACUUACACAGAAAUCCUCCCAUAAAACAAGUAUGCUUCAAAAAAUCAUAUUGUCUUAACAAUGACCAUGUUCCCCUUUGGUUGAAUUGGCCUCUUUUGUAAGAUUCUAAUUACCCAAAAUUAAGGGUUUUUGGGGGUUUUUGUUUGUUUUUGUUCUUUUGUUUUGUUUUACCAUGCUAGGACUGGGUAACUUUAUUCAAGACCUUGACAAAAUGAUCCCCAAAGUAAUAUAAAUGUAGACACUUUAAAAAGUCCAGAUGUGGAAGUGAGGAGCGCCUCUGCCCGGCCACCCAUCAUCUGGGAGGUGAGGAGCGCCUCUGCCCGGCUGCCCUGUCUGGGAAGUGAGGAGUGCCUCUGCCCGGCCACCCCAUCUGGGAAGUGAGGAGCACCUCUGCCCGGCCGCCCCCAUCUGGGAAGUGAGGAGCGCUUCUGCCCGGCCUCCCCGUCUGGGAAGUGAGGAGCGUCUCUGCCCAGCCGCCCAUCGUCUGGGAUGUGAGGAGCGCCUCUACCCGGCCGCCCCGUCUGGGAAGUGAGGAGCGUCUCUGCCCGGCCGCCCAUCGUCUGGGAGGUGAGGAGUGCCUCUGCCCGGCCACCCCGUCUGGGAAGUGAGGAGCACCUCUGCCUGGCCGCUGUGCAAUCUUCCAAGUGUGAAGUGACAGGCUUUCUGCAGGUGUACCCAACAGCUCCAAAGAGACAGCGACCAUUGAGAAGGGGCCAUGAUGACGAUGGUGGUUCUGUCAAAAAGAAAAGGGGGAAAUGUGGGGAAAAGAAAGAGAGAUCAGAUUGUUACUGUGUCUGUGUAGAAAGAAGUAGACAUAAGAGACUCCAUUUUGUUCUGUACUAAGAAAAAUUCUUCUGCCUUAGGAUGCUGUUAAUCUAUAACCUUACCCCCAACCCCGUGCUCUCUGAAACAUGUGCUGUGUCAACUCAGGGUUAAAUGGAUUAAGGGCAGUGCAAGAUGUGCUUUGUUAAACAGAUGCUUGAAGGCAGCAUGCUCGUUAAGAGUCAUCACCACUCCCUAAUCUCAAGUACCCAGGGACACAAACACUGCGGAAGGCCGCAGGGACCUCUGCCUAGGAAAACCAGAGACCUUUGUUCACAUGUUUAUCUGCUGACCUUCUCUCCACUAUUAUCCUAUGACCCUGCCACAUCCCCCUCUCCGAGAAACACCCAAGAAUGAUCAAUAAAUACUAAAAAAAAAAAAAAA